GAUGAACGCUGGCGGCGUGCCUAAUACAUGCAAGUAGAACGCUGAAGGAGGAGCUCUGCUUCUCUGGAUGAGUUGCGAACGGGUGAGUAACGCGUAGGUAACCUGCCUGGUAGCGGGGGAUAACUAUUGGAAACGAUAGCUAAUACCGCAUAAGAGCAGUUGUUGCAUGACAGCUGUUUAAAAGGUGCAAUUGCACCACUACCAGAUGGACCUGCGUUGUAUUAGCUAGUUGGUGAGGUAACGGCUCACCAAGGCGACGAUACAUAGCCGACCUGAGAGGGUGAUCGGCCACACUGGGACUGAGACACGGCCCAGACUCCUACGGGAGGCAGCAGUAGGGAAUCUUCGGCAAUGGGGGCAACCCUGACCGAGCAACGCCGCGUGAGUGAAGAAGGUUUUCGGAUCGUAAAGCUCUGUUGUAAGAGAAGAACGAGUGUGAGAGUGGAAAGUUCACGCUGUGACGGUAUCUUACCAGAAAGGGACGGCUAACUACGUGCCAGCAGCCGCGGUAAUA
This 514-nucleotide ribosomal RNA is filed under the name uncultured Streptococcus sp. RNAcentral describes it as "bacterial SSU rRNA". It matches the Rfam family "Bacterial small subunit ribosomal RNA", at positions 28 to 525 of the family's 1533-position model. Lineage: Bacteria; Bacillati; Bacillota; Bacilli; Lactobacillales; Streptococcaceae. The record is from RNAcentral.